CCUACGGGGGGCUGCAGUGGGGAAUAUUGGACAAUGGGGGGAACCCUGAUCCAGCGACGCCGCGUGAGUGAAGAAGUAUUUCGGUAUGUAAAGCUCUAUCAGCAGGGAAGAAAAUGACGGUACCUGACUGAGAAGCCCAGGCGAACUACGUGCCAGCAGCCUCGGUAAUACGGAGGGGGCAAGCGUUAUCCGGAUUUACUGGGUGUAAAGGGAGCGUAGACGGUGCAGCAAGUCUGAUGUGAAAGGUCGGGGCCCAACCCCGGGACUGCAUUGGAAACUGGUGAACUGGAGUGCAGGAGAGGUAAGCGGAAUUCCUGGUGUAGCGGUGAAAUGCGUAGAUAUUAGGAGGAACACCAGUGGCGAAGGCGGCUUACUGGACUGUAACUGACGUUGAGGCUCGAAAGCGUGGGGAGCAAACAGGAUUAGAUACCCGAGUAGUC
Molecule: ribosomal RNA, 440 nt
Filed under: uncultured bacterium
Lineage: Bacteria
Description: partial 16S ribosomal RNA
Rfam family: Bacterial small subunit ribosomal RNA
Source: RNAcentral